Bactrocera oleae (olive fruit fly) is the source of this 486-nucleotide non-coding RNA. The record is from RefSeq and is a predicted model, not a curated record. Lineage: Eukaryota; Metazoa; Arthropoda; Insecta; Diptera; Tephritidae.
CAAAAAUUUUUCUGUUUACUUAUUUUAUUUAAACUUCAGAAGAACAACACUAUUUAUGUACAUUUUGUAUAUUUAAAUCACUAAAGUAUCGAAAAUAUCUGACAUGUAAAUUAAUAAGCUACUACCACAUAUGAACGACUUGAUGUCGCUUUUGCGACUAACCUUGCAAGUAGCGUCAGAACUCUAAAACCAUUGAAUCAACUCAUGUACAAUGUACAAAUCUGCACCAACCGUCAGGCGCCUGUCAUACAAACAAUUUUUGUUUAAGAUAUAAUACAUGUUUAUGUUCUAAAGGAUUUACACAAAACCCAAGGGUUUUGCAGCCUUCUGCGACAAAUUUUAGAAUAACAGUACGCAUGUGUCAGAAUUUGAACAGAGCUAACUAAAACAAAAUAAGCCUUACGUCCUAUAUAUAAUAUGUAAAUAUAUUGUACAUACAAGCACAUACUUAUGCGUAUUGCAGAGUUGUAUACAGCACCAAGGCUA